RNAcentral lists this ribosomal RNA (404 nucleotides) under uncultured bacterium. Its description in RNAcentral is "bacterial SSU rRNA". It matches the Rfam family "Bacterial small subunit ribosomal RNA", at positions 29 to 417 of the family's 1533-position model. The record is from RNAcentral.
AGCGAACGCUGACGGCGGGCCUAACACAUGCAAGUCGAACGUGAAAGGGAGCAAUCCUGAGUAAAGUGGCGUACGGGUGAGUAACACGUGAGUAAUCUACCCAAGAAUCUGGAAUAACCUGCCGAAAGGCGGGCUAAUACUAGAUAGAGCGCAGGACACGUAAGGUGUUUUGCGGGAAAGCAGGGGAUCUGUGAGGACCUUGCGUUUUUGGAUGAGCUCGCGUCCCAUUAGCUAGUUGGUAGGGUAACGGCCUACCAAGGCGAUGAUGGGUAGCUGGUCUGAGAGGAUGAUCAGCCACACUGGGACUGAAACACGGCCCAGACUCCUACGGGAGGCAGCAGUGGGGAAUCUUGCGCAAUGGACGAAAGUCUGACGCAGCCACGCCGUGUGAGUGAAGAAGGCCU